RNAcentral lists this ribosomal RNA (1026 nucleotides) under Triticum aestivum (bread wheat). RNAcentral's name for it is "partial small subunit ribosomal RNA". Lineage: Eukaryota; Viridiplantae; Streptophyta; Magnoliopsida; Poales; Poaceae. The record is from RNAcentral.
AUGGACCGGGUGCUGCUGCCGGUGAGGGUGAAGGAGGAGUGGCCGCCGCCGCCGCCGGAGGAGGAGGAGGAGUUGGAGCAUCGGGGCCUGGCGCCGCGGCCGAUGGAGGGGCUGCACGAGACGGGCCCGCCGCCGUUCCUGACCAAGACGUUCGACCUGGUGGCCGACCCGGCCACCGACGGCGUCGUCUCCUGGGGCCGCGCCGGGGACAGCUUCGUCGUCUGGGACCCCCACCUCUUCGCCGCCGUGCUGCUCCCGCGCUUCUUCAAGCACAGCAACUUCUCCAGCUUCGUCCGCCAGCUCAACACCUACGGUUUUAGAAAGAUUGAUCCAGACAGAUGGGAGUUCGCGAACGAGGGUUUCAUUAGGGGCCAGAGACAGCUUCUGAAGAUGAUAAAGAGAAGGAGACCAAUGUCUUAUCUCCCUUCAUCACAGCAGCAGGCUCUUGGCUCCUGCCUCGAGGUCGGCCAGUUCGGAUUCGACGAAGAAAUCGAAGUGCUAAAGCGCGACAAGAACGCCUUACUCGCAGAGGUGGUGAAACUGAGGCAGGAGCAGCAGAGCAGCAGAGCUGACAUGCGAGCCAUGGAAGAGAGGUUACACCACGUCGAGCAGAAGCAGCUCCAGAUGAUGGGUUUCCUGGCAAGAGCAAUACAGAACCCUGACUUCUUUCUCCAGCUGAUCCAGCAACAAAAUAAACUGAAGGACCUCGAGGACGGUUACCCGACGAAGAGGAGGAGGCCCAUCGACGUAAUGCCGUUCCUUGGCCCUGAGGGGACCAGUCAGAGUGAGCCACUCGAGUCCACAUUCAUUUUUGAGGACAGGGAAUUUUCAGAGCUGGAGAAUUUAGCCAUGAACAUUCAGGGCAUCAGGAAGGGCAUGGAGGAUGACAGAGGUGGUCGGAAUCAGGGCUGUGGUGAGGCCGAGCUGACUGACGACUUCUGGGAGGAGCUGCUGAGUGAAGGAAUGAGGGAUGAAGCUGAGAUGCUAGAGCUGGAGAGGAGGAGAUCUAGAUGUUUCGACGCGUAG